GACGAACGCUGGCGGCGUGCUUAACACAUGCCAGUCGAACGGAAAGGCCCUGCGUUUGUGGGGUGCUCGAGUGGCGAACGGGUGAGUAACACGUGAGUAACCUGCCCUUGACUUUGGGAUAACUUCAGGAAACUGGGGCUACUAACGGCUAGGAGCUCCUGCUGCAUGGUGGGGGUUGGAAAGUUUCGGCGGUUCGGGAUGGACUCGCGGCUUAUCAGCUUGUUGGUGGGGUAGUGGCUUACCAAGGCUUUGACGGGUAGCCGGCCUGAGAGGGUGACCGGCCACACUGGGACUGGGGUACGGCCCAGACUCCUACGGAACGCAGCGGUGGGGAGUAUUGCCCAAUGGGCGGAAGCCAGAUGCAGCAACGCCGCGUGCGGGAAGACUGCCUUCGGGUUGUAAACCGCGUUCGCCUGUGACGAAGCGUGAGUGACGGUAAUGGGUAAAGAAGCACCGGCUAACUACGUG
This 468-nucleotide ribosomal RNA is filed under the name uncultured bacterium. RNAcentral's name for it is "partial 16S ribosomal RNA". It matches the Rfam family "Bacterial small subunit ribosomal RNA", at positions 28 to 507 of the family's 1533-position model. The record is from RNAcentral.